This 1093-nucleotide long non-coding RNA is filed under the name Homo sapiens (human). RNAcentral's name for it is "HSALNT0381469". The record is from RNAcentral. Lineage: Eukaryota; Metazoa; Chordata; Mammalia; Primates; Hominidae.
AGUGGCGUGAUCUCGGCUCAUUGCAACCUCCGCCUCCUGGGUUCAAGCAAUUCUCCUGCCUCAGCCUCCUGAGUAGCUGGGAUUACAGGCGCCCGCCACCACUCCCAGCUAAUUUUUGUAUUUUUAGUAGGGACGAGGUUUCACCAUGUUGGUCAGGCUGGUCUCAAACUCCUGACCUCGUGAUCUGCCCUCCUUGGCCUUCCAAAGUGCUGGGAUUACAGGCGUGAUGGAGAUGAUACUCCCUAAAUCACAAGGGUGUGGUGUGAAGAUGAAAUGGCUGCACGUGACAGAGGAGUUGGAGAACAGGAAGCAAGUGGAUUACUUGGAUGAACUGUGAUGGGCCCAAGAAGAACUAAGCCAAUCACUCCAGGGGGCGUUUUCCCAGGAUCCAGGCAGAGAGCUGAUUCCAGCAUCCACGUUGUAUCCCCCUCCCGCUGUGGCCGGGGUCUCCAAGAGCCGGGCACCCACUGCAGAGCUUCCAAGCCCAGGCCCAUUUGAACACAGGAGGACUUUUGAGGUUCAUUUAACCCCAAAAUCAGUGAUUCUACAUCUCAAGCUCAUAUUUUGAAGUGUUUACGGAAAUGAUUGCCAGAACUACAGACCUUGAGCUUGUGUGGGGUGACAAUCCGACAAGCAACAGUGAGACAGAGCUGAGAGGGCUGCAGACCAGGAUGGUGGGACCGAGGUUGCUAACAAAGCGCUGCUGAGACCUGCACAGCAUGGAGGUGCUGCUGGGGGAGAGGGGUCCCCGUGAGUGGAUCUGCUUGGUCUGCCCUUGCAAAUAGUUCUUGUCAACGGGAAGGACUUAGAGCCCCUUGAUCUACACUCAUGGAUACUUUUUUGAACUCAAGGUUUACAGUAGAAACCAGCAGCACCCCAUCCCCUAGGGCUCUCUAACCCACUGUGUCUCUACCCUGACCUUACCUACCUUUUUUUUUUUUUUUUUUUUGUGAGACAGAGUCUCGCUCCAUCGCCCAGGCUGGAGUGCAGUGGUGCGAUCUCCACUCAUUGCAAGCUCCGCCUCCCUGGUUCACGCCAUUCUCCUUCCUCAGCCUCCCGAGUAGCUGGGACUACAGGUGCCCACCACCACGCC